RNAcentral lists this transfer RNA (72 nucleotides) under Marmota monax (woodchuck). RNAcentral's name for it is "tRNA.Ala". Lineage: Eukaryota; Metazoa; Chordata; Mammalia; Rodentia; Sciuridae. The record is from RNAcentral.
UUGGGCUGUAGCUCAGUGGUAGAGCACUUGCCUAGCAUGCCAGAGGCCCUUGGUUCCAUCUCUAGGAAAAAG